UACGUAGGGGGCAAGCGUUGUCCGGAUUUACUGGGCGUAAAGCGCGCGUAGGUGGAAGGUCAAGUCCGGCUUGAAAGCCCCCGGCUCAACCGGGGAGAGUGGCUGGAAACUGGCUUUCUUGAGGGCGAGAGAGGAGGGUGGAAUUCCUGGUGUAGCGGUGGAAAUGCGUAGAGAUCAGGAGGAACACCCGAGGCGAAGGCGGCCCUCUGGCUCGACCCUGACGCUGAGGCGCGAAAGCGUGGGGAGCGAACGGG
Molecule: ribosomal RNA, 254 nt
Filed under: uncultured bacterium
Lineage: Bacteria
Description: partial 16S ribosomal RNA
Rfam family: Bacterial small subunit ribosomal RNA
Source: RNAcentral